RNAcentral lists this long non-coding RNA (992 nucleotides) under Lepisosteus oculatus (spotted gar). RNAcentral's name for it is "lncRNA (ENSLOCG00000021850.1)". Lineage: Eukaryota; Metazoa; Chordata; Actinopteri; Semionotiformes; Lepisosteidae. The record is from RNAcentral.
UGAGAACUGGCAGAAGGCGAGACAGAAGACAGAAGAGAGAGAGACCUGCUGUACGAGUCAGUAAGAGACAGAGACAGACAGAGACAAAGACACAGAGUAAGAGACAGAGACAGACAGAGACAGAGACAGAAGAAGAGAGAGAGACCGGCUGUACAAGUCAGUAAGAGACAGAGACAGAGACAGAGAGAGAGACUGAGAAAGAGAAACACAGUCAGAGACAGAGACACAGCCAGAAAUCCAGUCAGCGACACAGUCAGAGUUAGAGACAGAAACACAGUCAGAGACAGAGACACAGUCAGAGACAGAGACACAGAGUCAGAGACACAAUCAGAGUCAGAGGCACAGUCAGAGACAGAGACACAAUUAGAGACACAAUAAGAGACAGAGACACAAUCAGAGACGGAGACACAUUCAGGGUCAGAGGCACAGUUAGAGUCAGAGACACAUUCAGAGACAGAGACAGAGACAGAGAUAAAGAGAGUCAGAGACACAGCCGUGGGAAGACAGUCCUUCGUAGACUCCUCAUUCCCUCCCUCUCAGGCCAAAUGCGGCUCCCAGCAAUUUCUCUGCUUGUGGCUGCUGUGUGCUUGGGCGUCCAGUCGGCAGACCCCUCCCAGUUUCUCCCACUGCCACUCAGAACACUACGAUACAGGAAUGUGGACAGCGCUCCUCCUCCUCUCCCGGUGGACGCUCCGGGUCUCCUUGCCUCCCGUCUGGAAGGAGACUCCCGCAGGCAGGCGGGAGAGCCCUACAACGUGAACUCCUUCGGCCUGCGGUUCGGGAAGAAGAGGGACACCCAGAUCAGCUGGAUCUCGUCCGGCCUGCGCUCCGGGGGGAAGAGGGGGCGCCCGGAGAGGGGGGAGGCGUAGCGGGGCGCCGGCCCGUUCCUCGUCUUCGUCCCCGUGUUCCCCCUGUCCCGGCCGGAAGAGGGCGGGGUCCUUCGGCCUGUGCCCUGCUCUUCCCUCUCGGAGUGGGCGUGUGGCUCCGCCCUG